UCUCUUGUAGCUCAGUGGUACUAGUAGAGCGUCCGACCGGUUUCUGGAAGGUUCAUAGGUUCGACUCCUGUUGGGAGAA
Non-coding RNA from Desmophyllum pertusum, 79 nucleotides. NCBI's taxonomy places the organism in Eukaryota, Metazoa, Cnidaria, Anthozoa, Scleractinia, Caryophylliidae. The record is from the annotation of a GenBank genome assembly.